This 229-nucleotide ribosomal RNA is filed under the name uncultured bacterium. RNAcentral's name for it is "partial 16S ribosomal RNA". It matches the Rfam family "Bacterial small subunit ribosomal RNA", at positions 15 to 235 of the family's 1533-position model. The record is from RNAcentral.
GAUCCUGGCUCAGGAUGAACGCCAGCUACAGGCUUAACACAUGCAAGUCGAGGGGCAGCAUUUUUAUAGCAAUAUAAAAGAUGGCGACCGGCGCACGGGUGAGUAACACGUAUCCAACCUGCCGUCUACUCUUGGACAGCCUUCUGAAAGGAAGAUUAAUACAAGAUGGCAUCAUGAGUCCGCAUGUUCACAUGAUUAAAGGUAAUUCCGGUAGACGAUGGGGAGUGCG